GAAGAAGUCAAGAGCCAUUGGAGCCGUCAUGUUCCCGAGGGUGCUGCUCUUGAAGCUGGAUGGAAUACCAAGUUUGCUGAAUAUGAGAAGAAGUAUGCAGAGGAAGCUGCAGAUUUGAAAUCCAUCAUUACUGGUGAACUACCUGCUGGCUGGGAGAAAGCUCUUCCUACUUACACUCCCGAGAGCCCAGCUGAUGCCACGAGAAACUUGUCACAACAAAACCUUAAUGCUCUUGCCAAGGUUGUACCUGGUUUCCUUGGUGGUAGUGCUGAUCUUGCUUCAUCAAACAUGACUCUUUUGAAAAUGUUUGGUGACUUCCAAAAGAACACUCCAGAAGAGCGUAACUUAAGGUUUGGUGUUCGUGAACAUGGUAUGGGAGCGAUAUGUAAUGGGAUUGCUCUACACAGCCUUGGCUUGAUCCCGUAUUGUGCUACUUUCUUUGUGUUCACUGACUACAUGAGAGGAGCCAUGAGAAUAUCAGCCUUGUCUGAAGCUGGAGUUAUUUAUGUUAUGACUCACGAUUCAAUUGGUCUAGGAGAAGACGGUCCAACUCAUCAACCCAUUGAGCACUUGGCUAGUUUCCGUGCCAUGCCAAACAUUCUGAUGUUCCGUCCAGCAGAUGGUAAUGAGACAGCAGGAGCUUACAAGGUGGCUGUCCUUAAGAGGAAAACACCAUCAAUCCUUGCCCUCUCUCGGCAAAAGUUGCCACAACUUGCGGGAACUUCUAUUGAAGGAGCAGCAAAGGGUGGCUACAUUGUAUCAGACAAUUCUUCAGGCAACAAACCUGAUGUCAUUUUGAUCGGUACUGGUUCCGAGUUGGAAAUUGCUGUCAAGGCUGCUGAUGAACUCAGAAAGGAAGGGAAGGCGGUGAGAGUUGUCUCCUUUGUGUCUUGGGAGCUUUUCGAUGAACAAUCAGCUGAGUACAAGGAAAGUGUCCUCCCAGCUGCUGUUACCGCUAGAGUUAGCAUUGAAGCUGGAACCACAUUUGGGUGGGAGAAGAUCGUCGGAUCCAAGGGGAAGGCCAUUGGAAUUGACAGAUUCGGUGCCAGUGCCCCAGCUGGAAAAAUAUACAAGGAGUUUGGAAUUACAGCAGAGGCUGUUAUAGCUGCAGCUAAACAAGUUUCUUAGACUCUUAUGUGUCUACCAAAGCUGUUUUCGUUUUGGUUCUGAGGUUGGAGAUAAUGGUGGAAACCGAUACCAAGUAGCCUCUGCAGUUCUGAUAUUUUCAAUAAAGACAAUCACUUCAUCAUUUUCUUCAGUUUGAGCAGCGGGGCGACCAGAAUGACCCCAAGAUGAGGAUAGAAAUAGGCUUUUAUGGAUGCUCCUGACCCAUGUACACUUAAACAUAUCUUUGAGUUUUGUAACUUCCGUUUGGUUGAGUGAUAAUGAGGUCCAAUUUUCAAUUGGAAUUUCAGGUCUUCAGAUUAAAAAA
Molecule: unclassified non-coding RNA, 1432 nt
Filed under: Hevea brasiliensis (rubber tree)
Lineage: Eukaryota; Viridiplantae; Streptophyta; Magnoliopsida; Malpighiales; Euphorbiaceae
Source: RNAcentral